UUUUUGUGGUUACCUAAAUCAAUGUGGAGCAGUUACUUUAGUAUUUAAAUGCAGUGGUUGUUCCUCCUCGUUUCGUACCUGUAGCUAUUGUGUCUAUACGGGAGAUAUUGCUAAGCUGUGUCAACGACAAUGUUCAACUUUUCCAGAAAAGAAUUCUUCGUGUCAAACGAGUAAUCCUCCGUAUAACGAUUCUGUUUCUAAUUCCGUAGA
This is a long non-coding RNA of Saccostrea cuccullata (small rock oyster), 210 nucleotides long. RefSeq lists it as uncharacterized. NCBI's taxonomy places the organism in Eukaryota, Metazoa, Mollusca, Bivalvia, Ostreida, Ostreidae. The record is from RefSeq and is a predicted model, not a curated record. The transcript is spliced from 4 exons.